RNAcentral lists this long non-coding RNA (272 nucleotides) under Elaeis guineensis (African oil palm). RNAcentral's name for it is "long non-coding RNA (EGUI_LNC064863)". Lineage: Eukaryota; Viridiplantae; Streptophyta; Magnoliopsida; Arecales; Arecaceae. The record is from RNAcentral.
UUCUUGGGUUGCUGUGUUCACCUCUUCCCUUCCUCCAUCUUGAGUUUUCUGAGAGUGUCUCAGAUCUAAAACUCCUUCUCCUACUUUUUAUCUUUGAAAGAAUUCUAAUCAAGAAGAAGGAGGCAUCUGAUCGACCAUCGAAGAAGGAUCAGUGCAGUACUAGCAUACAUUGCUGAUUUUUUGGAUCAGGAUUCUGAUUGUGAUUCGUAGGCUCGUGUGGACGACUCUUAGAGGCCGGACGUAUGUGUGGCUCACAACAUCAUCCUCAAGCC